GCAAGAUUCUCCAGGAAUCCCUCUAUACCACUUAGUUUUUCUAGUUAGUGAUGAUUUUGGUCAUUCGUCUUCUUGCCAGUGUCAGCUGUCACUUCUCAGUCAGUAGUCUUAAAAAAUAAUAAUAAUGUACAUUCUCAGAAGUAUCCUACCUGCCAGGUACCACAUAUUGAGACUUCUGGUGUCUUUGGAAAGCUUGGCUUAGAACAACAGGAAUGUCAGGGGCUGGGAGACAGCAAUUUAUGUCUCAGCCGAAAUAAGGUGGCAGAUUUCAUUCCUAUGAUGGAUCAGAAAGGAGGCAAGAUUCCUGUUAAGGACAGAGGACCAGGUAGUGCUGCCCACAGAGGUCAUUACCACAUUUUGAGGACCUAAAAUGUGACUUCACACUCAGAGAACAGCCCCUCUUAGUGCUUGACCAGAAGUGCAGACUUCUGGUGUGCACAGCCCACCUUCCACCUGCCUGCACUUGGGCAGCUUUCUGGACAGGAAGUGAGCUACCUGCACUUCAAGUAUCUUUCCUACUGAAGUGUAUCUUCACUGACUUCAACUUACCAACA
This 554-nucleotide long non-coding RNA is filed under the name Marmota monax (woodchuck). The record is from RNAcentral. Lineage: Eukaryota; Metazoa; Chordata; Mammalia; Rodentia; Sciuridae.